This 577-nucleotide ribosomal RNA is filed under the name uncultured bacterium. RNAcentral's name for it is "partial 16S ribosomal RNA". It matches the Rfam family "Bacterial small subunit ribosomal RNA", at positions 355 to 925 of the family's 1533-position model. The record is from RNAcentral.
UGGGGAAUUUUGGACAAUGGGGGAAACCCUGAUCCAGCCAUCCCGCGUGUGCGAUGAAGGCCUUCGGGUUGUAAAGCACUUUUGGCAGGAAAGAAACGUCGCGGGUUAAUACCCCGCGAAACUGACGGUACCUGCAGAAUAAGCACCGGCUAACUACGUGCCAGCAGCCGCGGUAAUACGUAGGGUGCAAGCGUUAAUCGGAAUUACUGGGCGUAAAGCGUGCGCAGGCGGUUCGGAAAGAAAGAUGUGAAAUCCCAGAGCUUAACUUUGGAACUGCAUUUUUAACUACCGGGCUAGAGUGUGUCAGAGGGAGGUGGAAUUCCGCGUGUAGCAGUGAAAUGCGUAGAUAUGCGGAGGAACACCGAUGGCGAAGGCAGCCUCCUGGGAUAACACUGACGCUCAUGCACGAAAGCGUGGGGAGCAAACAGGAUUAGAUACCCUGGUAGUCCACGCCCUAAACGAUGUCAACUAGCUGUUGGGGCCUUCGGGCCUUGGUAGCGCAGCUAACGCGUGAAGUUGACCGCCUGGGGAGUACGGUCGCAAGAUUAAAACUCAAAGGAAUUGGACUGGGGUCGAU